GACGAACGCUGGCGGCGUGCCUAAUACAUGCAAGUAGAACGCACAGUUUAUACCGUAGCUUGCUACACCAUAGACUGUGAGUUGCGAACGGGUGAGUAACGCGUAGGUAACCUGCCUGGUAGCGGGGGAUAACUAUUGGAAACGAUAGCUAAUACCGCAUAAUAUUGAUUAUUGCAUGAUAAUUGAUUGAAAGAUGCUAUUGCAUCACUACCAGAUGGACCUGCGUUGUAUUAGCUAGUAGGUGAGGCAACGGCUCACCUAGGCGACGAUACAUAGCCGACCUGAGAGGGUGAUCGGCCACACUGGGACUGAGACACGGCCCAGACUCCUACGGGAGGCAGCAGUAGGGAAUCUUCGGCAAUGGACGAAAGUCUGACCGAGCAACGCCGCGGGAGUGAAGAAGGGUUUCGGAUCGUAAAGCUCGGUUGUAAGAGAAGAACGGGUGUGAGAGUGGAAAGUUCACACUGUGACGGUAUCUGACCAGAAAGGGACGGCUAACUACGUG
RNAcentral lists this ribosomal RNA (505 nucleotides) under uncultured bacterium. Its description in RNAcentral is "partial 16S ribosomal RNA". It matches the Rfam family "Bacterial small subunit ribosomal RNA", at positions 28 to 507 of the family's 1533-position model. The record is from RNAcentral.